AGCGUCCAGUCGUGCGUUUAGAAAAAUGCCCCAGGGAGUCUUGAUCAUUGGCGAGGUUAAGCGGUUGAUCCGCGUAGCCGAAGGGAAACCGACAAGUCCGCAGCAGUUUACUGUGAGGGACGAAGUGUGCUCGCUUGGAGUCAAUGGUGGAGGACCUGAAGCCCGACGAUCUAUGCCUGGCCAGAUUGAAGCCCGUUGAAAGAUGGGUGGAGGAUCGAACCGUUGCUGAUCUGCAAAUCGCUCGGACGAGCUGGGUAUAGGGGUGAAAGUCCAAUCGAGUUGGGCAAUAGCAGGUUCCGCGUGAAAGUACUCGUAGGUACACGUUAGUGGAGAUUGAUUACGCUGUAGAGCACUGAUUGUGCGUUUAGGGGGAGCGAUUCCUCGGCGUGCUGCCAAACUCCGAAGGUGUAAUCGUUGUAGAUACUAGCAGUGAGUGAUGGUGGGUAAGCUACCAUUACGUAAGGUGAACAAACCAGCCUGAAGUUAAGGUCCCUAAAUAUCAAUUAAGUGUCACAGACAAACCGUGUCCGUGGUCGAAAACAACCAGAAGGUGGGCUUAGAAGCAGCCAUCCUUGAAAGAGUUCGUAACAGAUCACUGGUCUAGCUUGCGGGCCGGGAAAAGGGACGGGGCUCAAAUUGAUUACCGAUACUUCAGACCAUCGAAAGAUGAUGUGGUAACGCGGCGUAGUGUAUGGACGGAAGGUAGGCUGUGAGGUCUACUGGACCGUAUACUAAUGAGAGUCUUGGGAAGAGUAGCAGCACAGUGUGGUGAGAAUCCGCACCGCCUUAUAAACCAGGGUUCCUCGGCACUGUUUAUCAGCCGAGGGUUAGCCGGUCCUAAGGUCAUUCUUAACCGAAAUGAUCGAAAGGGAAAUGCGUUAAUAUUCGUAUGCCUCCCAUACAAUAUAUGGUGACGGCUUGGGCAAAACUUGUGGAUCAUAUGUCAGGUCCACUUGUACCAAAUCUUUGGAGAACUGUCACAGUGAGAAGAAGAUGAAGUCCCAGGUCCCGUGAAAAGCCGUAUGGGAUGACCGUACCGAGAACUGAAACAGGUGUUUUAGGGUGAGUAGCCUAAGGCGUAUCGGAUACAAGUAUCGCGAGGGAACUCGGCAAAAUAGCUCCGUAACUUCGGGAGAAGGAGUGCCAGAUUGGGAACAAUCUGGUCGCAGUGACUAGGGAGCUCCGACUGUUUAAUAAAAACAUAGGGGACUGCCAGAUCGAAAGGUUGUGUAUAGUCCCUGAAUCCUGCUCAGUGCUGGUAUCUUAAAUCGGGUUUCAACCUGACGAAGGACCAGUAAACAGCGGGGGUAACUAUGACCCUCUUAAGGUAGCGUAAUACCUUGUCGCUUAAUUGGCGACUUGCAUGAAUGGUCCAACGAGGGCUCCACUGUCCCCGCGAUACGUCCGGCGAAAUUGACUUUACUGGCGCACAGUCCAGUACAUUCUACCCGCAAGCGAAGACCCCGUAGAGCUUUACUGCAGCCUGUCGUUGCAUAGUCGCUUUCCAUGUACUGUGUAGGUGGGAGAUGUUGAUCUCCAGGACGUCAGUCUUGGAAGUAGUCGAAAAUAGAGACACCACCCUUGGAGAGUAACUAUGCUAACUGUUUAUCAGGACACCGAUUGGUGGGCAGUUUGGGUGGGGCGCCACGCGCUCGAAAACCUAACAAGCGUGCCCAAUGGUCAGCUUAAGUGGUUCAGCACUCCACUGUUAACUGUAAGGGGAAAAGCUGGCUUGACGUGGAUCGGCACAAUAACGAUCGACGAUGCGAAAGCAGGGCCUAACGAACCUACCAGGCUUAUAUUUGAGGCCGGUAGAUAACAGAAAAGUUACCUCGGGGAUAAUUGAGUUGUCACCAGCAAGAGCUCACAUCGACCUGGUGGCUUGCUACUUCGAUGUCGUCUCUUCCUAUCCUGGGUCUGCAGCAGGACCCAAGGGUGGGGUUGUUCGCCCAUUAAAAGGGAUCGUGAGAUGGGUUUAGACCGUCGUGAGACAGGUUUGUUGCUUGGUGGUAGAAUCGCAUAAGGUGUUUGAUGGAAGGGGUCCUUUAGUACGAGAGGAACGAGGGCUCGGGGCCACUAGUUUACCAGUUGUCUGACAAGGCAAUGCUGGGUAGCCACGCCCUGAAGGAUAAGAGCUGAAAGCAUCUAAGCUCGAAGCCACCCCAAAGACGAGACACCUCAGAACACUCGUAAAAGACGAGAUUAAUAGAAUGCGGAUGUAAGUACGAAGCUUCGGCGACGUAUUCAGUCCAGCAUCACUAACGUUCGAGCAUCUUUUUUC
This 2281-nucleotide ribosomal RNA is filed under the name Candidatus Poseidoniales archaeon. RNAcentral's name for it is "partial 23S ribosomal RNA". It matches the Rfam family "Archaeal large subunit ribosomal RNA", at positions 634 to 2987 of the family's 2987-position model. The record is from RNAcentral. Lineage: Archaea; Methanobacteriati; Thermoplasmatota; Candidatus Poseidoniia; Candidatus Poseidoniales.